This is a long non-coding RNA of Esox lucius (northern pike), 527 nucleotides long. RefSeq lists it as uncharacterized. The record is from RefSeq and is a predicted model, not a curated record. The transcript has 4 exons. Lineage: Eukaryota; Metazoa; Chordata; Actinopteri; Esociformes; Esocidae.
CAAUCAACGUAAGCGAGGUUAUUGGACAGAGGGCUCGAUGGCGCGUUUUUUGAAUGCGCGAUUUCUCGAGGGCUUUGAGGAUACUGCAUUGUGCGGCCUCUGUAGAUGAGGGGCACGAGAACGGCACGAGCCAGAGGGAACAAAAGGACAGAUGGCCCCCAGGUCUUUACAAUGAAUUAUGGAUAAGUUGGAGGAAAUUGGGACCAUCAAAUAUUUCCUGACGGAUAUCAAUGCUGAUGCUGAGAGAUUUGGAGGCGUGAACCAAUCGCCCCCGCCCCGAAAGAGAUUGCUGUUCUGUCAUUUGUGCACCAGUCCAUUGCACUAAAGGGCGGUCAAUACGAUCCGCGGUUCCAGGCAUCCACCCCAAAGACAUGUUCCUACUGUCACAGCUACUCAAAACCAUGAACAUCAAGGACGAUUUCUGCAUCUCACGGAUGACUUCAUUGCUGUGGUGUGUUGGAGAUAUGUAUGCUAUGGAAGUCCGGACGUUUUCAACCGGACGAACAAAUAAAGUGAUCCCUUUCUGU